RNAcentral lists this ribosomal RNA (505 nucleotides) under uncultured bacterium. Its description in RNAcentral is "partial 16S ribosomal RNA". It matches the Rfam family "Bacterial small subunit ribosomal RNA", at positions 28 to 507 of the family's 1533-position model. The record is from RNAcentral.
GACGAACGCUGGCGGCGUGCCUAAUACAUGCAAGUAGAACGCACAGUUUAUACCGUAGCUUGCUACACCAUAGACUGUGAGUUGCGAACGGGUGAGUAACGCGUAGGUAACCUGCCUGGUAGCGGGGGAUAACUAUUGGAAACGAUAGCUAAUACCGCAUAAUAUUAAUUAUUGAAUGAUAAUUAAUUGAAAGGUGCAAUUGCACCACUACCAGAUGGACCUGCGUUGUAUUAGCUAGUAGGUGAGGUAACGGCUCACCUAGGCGACGAUACAUAGCCGACCUGCGAUGGCUAUCGGGCACACUUGGAGUGUGACGCGGCCCUGACUCCUACGUGUGGCAGCCGUAGCGAAUCUUCGGCAAUAGACGACAGCCUGACCGAGCAACGCCGCGUGAGUGACGAAGGUUAUCGGAUCGUAAAGCUCGGUUGUAAGAGAAGAACGGGUGUGAGAGUGGAAAGUUCACACUGUGACGGUACCUUAGCAGAAAGGGACGGCUAACUACGUG